Molecule: ribosomal RNA, 490 nt
Filed under: uncultured bacterium
Lineage: Bacteria
Description: partial 16S ribosomal RNA
Rfam family: Bacterial small subunit ribosomal RNA
Source: RNAcentral
AAUGAACGCUGGCGGCAUGCCUUACACAUGCAAGUCGAACGGCAGCAUGACCUAGCUUGCUAGGUUGAUGGCGAGUGGCGAACGGGUGAGUAAUGCAUCGGAACGUGCCUUUUAGUGGGGGAUAACGUAGCGAAAGUUACGCUAAUACCGCAUAUUCUCUGAGGAGGAAAGCAGGGGACCUUCGGGCCUUGCGCUAGAAGAGCGGCCGGUGUCGGAUUAGCUAGUUGGUGAGGUAAAGGCUCACCAAGGCAACGAUCCGUAGCGGGUCUGAGAGGAUGAUCGGCCACACUGGGACUGAGACACGGCCCAGACUCCUACGGGAGGCAGCAGUGGGGAAUUUUGGACAAUGGGCGCAAGCCUGAUCCAGCCAUGCCGCGUGAGUGAAGAAGGCCUUCGGGUUGUAAAGCUCUUUUGGCUGGGAAGAAAUCGCAUCCUCUAAUACAGGGUGUGGAUGACGGUACCAGCAUAAGAAGCACCGGCUAACUACGUG